AACGAACGCUGGCGGCGUGCCUAACACAUGCAAGUCGAACGAGAAAGGGGCUUCGGCUCCGAGUAAAGUGGCGCACGGGUGAGUAACACGUGGGUAACCUGCCUCUAAGAUUGGGAUAACUCGUCGAAUGAUGAGCUAAUACCGAAUAAGACCACAGUUCCCGCGGGAACAGGGGUCAAAGGUAGCCUCUGCUUGCAAGCUAUCACUUAGAGAUGGGCCUGCGCACCAUUAGCUAGUUGGUAGGGUAACGGCCUACCAAGGCAAAGAUGGUUAGCUGGUCUGAGAGGAUGAUCAGCCACACUGGAACUGAGACACGGUCCAGACUCCUACGGGAGGCAGCAGUGGGGAAUAUUGCGCAAUGGGCGAAAGCUUGACGCAGCAACGCCGCGUGAGUGAUGAAGGCCUUCGGGUCGUAAAGCUCUGUCGGGAGGAACGAAUGCUCCUGAGGUUAACAGCCUCGGGAGGUGACGGUACCUUCAAAGGAAGCACCGGCUAACUCUGUG
RNAcentral lists this ribosomal RNA (503 nucleotides) under uncultured bacterium. Its description in RNAcentral is "partial 16S ribosomal RNA". It matches the Rfam family "Bacterial small subunit ribosomal RNA", at positions 29 to 507 of the family's 1533-position model. The record is from RNAcentral.